GACAGCCAGGAUGUUGGCUUAGAAGCAGCCAUCAUUUAAAGAAAGCGUAAUAGCUCACUGGUCGAGUCGGCCUGCGCGGAAGAUGUAACGGGGCUAAACCAUGCACCGAAGCUGCGGCAGCGACACUGUGUGUUGUUGGGUAGGGGAGCGUUCUGUAAGCCUGUGAAGGUGUACUGUGAGGUAUGCUGGAGGUAUCAGAAGUGCGAAUGCUGACAUAAGUAACGAUAAAGCGGGUGAAAAGCCCGCUCGCCGGAAGACCAAGGGUUCCUGUCCAACGUUAAUCGGGGCAGGGUGAGUCGA
Molecule: ribosomal RNA, 300 nt
Filed under: Escherichia coli
Lineage: Bacteria; Pseudomonadati; Pseudomonadota; Gammaproteobacteria; Enterobacterales; Enterobacteriaceae
Description: partial 23S ribosomal RNA
Rfam family: Bacterial large subunit ribosomal RNA
Source: RNAcentral